CACUCCAGGCUAGGUGAUAAGAGCCAGAACUUGUCUCAAAAAAAGAAAAGAAAUGAAGGCUCACUGCUUCCCCUGCACACUUUACUUGGUUGAAACAAAUAAAAAUAAUAGAAUUCAAAUAACCUCAAAUCAUGGAAAAAAAUAUUAUCAGAACUAACCUCUAGUUCUUGGUUACAUUUUUAGAAUGUGGUAAAUGGGUAUUAAAUGAAAUUCUAACCUUAAAUAACCAACUAUAUCUUAAUAAUUAUCAAGAAAAAGUACUUUUUUUUUUUUUUCAGAGCCAGGGUCUCCCUGUGUCACCCAGGCUGGGGUGCAGUGAUGCCAUUCUAACUCACUACAGCUUCGAAUUCCUGGGCUAAGACGAUCCUCCCAGCUGAUGUGGCUGGACUGGGGGGCCACACUUAAUGAACCAUGGCUGUAAGAAGUGAUCCUGAAAGUGAUCCUGAAAGCAGAAAUGAAGGGACUUCUGUACAGUCUUACAGUGAACAAUCUGAUUCGUGUCAGUCUCCCCAUGAGAUUCUCAAGUCUAUGAGUGACAAAGUCUCACUAUGCUGCUCAGACUGAUAUCAAACUCCUACGCUCAAGCAAUCCUCUCGCCUCCACUUCCCAAAGUGCUGAGAUUACAGGCGUGAGUGAGCCACCUGGCCAGGCCCUACAGCCAAGUGAAAAACUGCAAGCAGCAGAAAAAUUUAUCUAAGAGUUUUAAAAAUACCAACAGGAGUCUGAAACCCUUCGCAGAGGCGUGCAACACACUAGGAGAGCGCUAUCUGUUUACAAAUACGAAUCUCAGUUACCCACGUCAAAACCGCGCAUUACCACCUUUCGACUGGGGGGCGGGGGAGAGAGAAGGCGGGCGAGCAAGAAACAAAAUCCACACAGACACCUCUGCCUUCUCCCUACAAGGACGAGCCCGGGGAAACAUUCAGUAUGUAUUAUAUGCGUGUAUACAUUUAUAUACAUUAUGUAGUCACCUAUGUCUAAGCAAGGGUGAAAGAAAAAGGUACACAUGACAGGGAAUCGUAACUGGACCCAACAGAAAUGUUCAAACCAAUCCCGUUAACUCAAAAUCCGCCCCGCUGGUCUACAACAGGUUUCGGUCCGGGACCGGGAGCCCCAGCCACAGUGUGGAGUUCGUCCCCAAAGCGCCCCAAUGCCCUCCUCAGGCCGCCCAGGCCGC
RNAcentral lists this long non-coding RNA (1177 nucleotides) under Homo sapiens (human). RNAcentral's name for it is "HSALNT0292172". Lineage: Eukaryota; Metazoa; Chordata; Mammalia; Primates; Hominidae. The record is from RNAcentral.